AACGUAGGUGGCGAGCGUUAUCCGGAUUUACUGGGCGUAAAGGGUGUGCAGGCGGGCUGUUAAGUGGGGUCUGAAAGGUCUCGGCUCAACCGGGAUAAGUUAUGCCAGACUGGCAGUCUAGAGAGCGAGAGAGGGACGUGGAAUUCCUGGUGUAGCGGUGAAAUGCGCAGAUAUCAGGAGGAACACCGAUGGCGAAGGCAGGUCUCUGGGCAUUAACUGACGCUGAGGAGCGAAAGCAUGGGGAGCGAACAGG
Molecule: ribosomal RNA, 253 nt
Filed under: uncultured bacterium
Lineage: Bacteria
Description: partial 16S ribosomal RNA
Rfam family: Bacterial small subunit ribosomal RNA
Source: RNAcentral